This 447-nucleotide ribosomal RNA is filed under the name uncultured bacterium. RNAcentral's name for it is "bacterial SSU rRNA". It matches the Rfam family "Bacterial small subunit ribosomal RNA", at positions 355 to 825 of the family's 1533-position model. The record is from RNAcentral.
UGAGGAAUAUUGGACAAUGGGCGCAAGCCUGACCCAGCAACGCCGCGUGAAGGAUGAAGUAUUUCGGUAUGUAAACUUCGAAAGAAUAGGAAGAAUAAAUGACGGUACUAUUUAUAAGGUCCGGCUAACUACGUGCCAGCAGCCGCGGUAAUACGUAGGGACCAAGCGUUGUUCGGAUUUACUGGGCGUAAAGGGCGCGUAGGCGGCAAUUCAAGUCAUCUGUGAAAUCUCCGGGCUUAACUCGGAACGGUCAGAUGAUACUGCUUUGCUAGAGUGCAGAAGGGGCAAUCGGAAUUCUUGGUGUAGCGGUGAAAUGCGUAGAUAUCAAGAGGAACACCUGAGGUGAAGACGGGUUGCUGGGCUGACACUGACGCUGAGGCGCGAAAGCCAGGGGAGCAAACGGGAUUAGAUACCCCUGUAGUCCCUGAGCGGGCUGGCAAGGCGCAU